RNAcentral lists this ribosomal RNA (253 nucleotides) under uncultured bacterium. Its description in RNAcentral is "partial 16S ribosomal RNA". It matches the Rfam family "Bacterial small subunit ribosomal RNA", at positions 524 to 776 of the family's 1533-position model. The record is from RNAcentral.
UACGUAGGGGGCAAGCGUUGUCCGGAAUUAUUGGGCGUAAAGCGCGUGUAGGCGGCCAGAUAAGUCCGGUGUGAAAUCUCGAGGCUCAACUUCGAGCUGUCGGUGGAAACUGUCUGGCUAGAGUCCGGAAGAGGAGAAUGGAAUUCCUGGUGUAGCGGUGAAAUGCGCAGAUAUCAGGAAGAACACCCGUGGCGAAGGCGGUUCUCUGGGACGGUACUGACGCUGAGACGCGAAAGCGUGGGGAGCGAACAGG